RNAcentral lists this small RNA (958 nucleotides) under Pan troglodytes (chimpanzee). RNAcentral describes it as "processed transcript". Lineage: Eukaryota; Metazoa; Chordata; Mammalia; Primates; Hominidae. The record is from RNAcentral.
GCAUCGCUGGGCCCGGCCGGGUCGCUGCGGCUGGGCUGGAGGUGAGGCGAAAGAAGGGCAUCCUCUGAUGGGAGUGGACCGGAGUCCGCUAAAGCGAAGCAUUCCAGGGUUCGUUGCGGGAAAUACAGUCUGGUUUUGCCCCCCGUAUGAAUUGAGGGAAGGUCAAGGAUGCAUUCCAGGAAAGUUCUAUAAAAAUAUACCAUCAACUCCAACCUGAUAUUUGACCUAGCCAUGGAAAACCUCAUUGGCUCCUCACUGGAUCAGACCAUAAAAAUGAUCCAGGAAUGAAAAUCUAAGAUAAAUUCCCACCACUUCAAGAUGUUCUUAUACAAGUCAACAGUCUAGCAGAUCAGCCAGUCUCUUUCAUCAUCAAGCAGACAUACUCAAGAAAGAGGAAUAGUGAAGUGAAAUACACAGAAGCAUGUUCAAGUUCAUCUGUUGAAUCUGGAAUUGUGAAUAGUGACAAUAUUGAGAAAAAUACUGACUCCAAUCUGCAAACUUCAACUUCAUUUGAGCCACAUUUCAAAAAGAAAAAAAAGAAAAAUUUGAAACAUUAAGGGAAAACAGUUGGGUAAAAGAUCCAUUUGCUUUUCGAAACCCUGAAUCAAUAAUUGAGCUAAACUUGGUGCCUGAAGAAGAGAAUGAAUUAUUGCAGCUUAGUUCUUCAUAUACAUUGAAGAAUGAUUAUGAAACCUUAAGUUUAUCAGCAUUUUGGAUGAAGGUAAAGGAAGACUUUCCAUUGUUAAGUAGAAAGAGUGUCCUGCUAUUGCUACCAUUCACAACAACUAGUUUGUGUGAACUAGGGUUUUCCAUCUUAACGCAGUUAAAAACAAAGGAAAGAAAUGGGCUGAAUUGUGCAGCAGCUAUGCGGGUAGCAUUAUCUUCCUGUGUUCCAGACUGGAAUGAACUUAUGAACAGGCAAGCACACCCAUCAUAGUAAAUAAAAAUCUUACCUAGC